UACGUAGGGGUCGAGCGUUGUCCGGAGUUACUGGGCGUAAAGCGCGCGCAGGCGGCGCGAUAAGACCGGCGUGAAAGCCCCCGGCUCAACCGGGGAGGGUCGUUGGUGACUGUCGCGCUUGAAGGCAGCAGGGGUGAGUGGAAUUCCCGGUGUAGUGGUGAAAUGCGUAGAGAUCGGGAGGAACACCCGUGGCGAAGGCGGCUCACUGGGCUGACCUUGACGCUGAGGCGCGAAGGCGUGGGGAGCGAACGGGAUUAGAUACCCCGGUAGUCCACGCAGUAAACGAUGCAGACUAGGCGUGGGGGGACUUGACCCCCUCCGUGCCGGAGCUAACGCGGUAAGUCUGCCGCCUGGGGAGUACGGCCGCAAGGCUAAA
RNAcentral lists this ribosomal RNA (376 nucleotides) under uncultured bacterium. RNAcentral's name for it is "bacterial SSU rRNA". It matches the Rfam family "Bacterial small subunit ribosomal RNA", at positions 524 to 898 of the family's 1533-position model. The record is from RNAcentral.